This 10335-nucleotide long non-coding RNA is filed under the name Daucus carota (carrot). Its description in RNAcentral is "long non-coding RNA (DCAR_LNC005094)". Lineage: Eukaryota; Viridiplantae; Streptophyta; Magnoliopsida; Apiales; Apiaceae. The record is from RNAcentral.
AUAACGAUAAUAUUUUGAAUCUUCAAAACUUGAGGUGAAUACAUUGCAGCGAUGAUCUCACCACAAUUAACUUACUCACUUUUGGAGAUCAUCUUAUUCUUUGGAAUCUAGUUAUUUUAAUUAUCCUUCACUUCUACCUUCGGGUAAUCUUUGUUGAAAGGGUGCAUUGUUCGCACUUCUUUGGUAGAGAUGAGUAGUGUUUAUUUGGGAGAAUUUUCUUGUAUUCGGAGGAAUCUAUUCAAGCUGGUCAACACGAAUUUAUUAAAUUCGUGGUAGAGUUGAGAAUUUACUAUCUGGUAAGGCAGAUAGUUUAGGGUUACAAAUGUUAACCCUUAUGCUAGCAAAUGAGAGUGGUAGGUGUGUCUUGUGCGGUUACGAUCAGACUGCAAAGAUCACACAGGAGAACGGUAUUCACGAAAUGGUGCUGAUCGAGCCAUGUAGUGUUACCGAAAGGUGGAAGACCAGCGUUUUCUUUACUUGAACUUGUGUUGUCAUUUGACGAUAGCUGCUUUGUUACUUUGGCUUGAAUUGUUUCUAUGCCUUACGUGCAUAUUCUGUUGAUUGUUGUUUUGCUCUAUGUGGACUUGCUGAGCAAUUUGAUUGCUCAUUCUUGCAUCUGUUUUAUUCCUGUUUGAGCAGUAAAUAGUGUGUAUGGCACAACUCAAGAGAACCGCCGGAAAUGGGUUUUUGGCAAAGACAGGGAAAGGGCGCAUCACCCAAGCUGAUACUGCUAGACUACUCAACUUGGUAGUACGAGCUAUAGUUAUUAUAAUGGUCUGAAAUCAGACUUCCCUUUAUGUAAUAAAGUUAGACUCAGUAGGAAUGUUGUAAGACAAUCGACCCUGGACUUGUGGGGCAAGAGUUGGAUUGUAUUAUAUUAAUAUGUAAUGCAAGUAUUGUUUUGAGCCAGAUGUUUAGUGGCGGACCAGAUCUGCGGGAUGUAGAUCUGGGGGCGUCACAGAUUUGGUAUCAGAGCCGUAGUUAUAUCCUUAGGAUUUGGGAAACCCUAGGAAUAUAACGAGUGAGAAUGACACGAAGUAUAAGAUAGGUAUCCUAGAUGAGCCUAUCUCCAUAUGUUAGAGAACAUAUAUGUCAAAUAAACUUUUAGUAGAGGGUUAGAUACCCUACAAAUAUAAACAUUUAUAGUUAUGAGCAAUGGUAGUAGUAACUAUUGGUAAUGAUGUUUGUGGUAUUACGUAGAUGUCAGGUUAUGAGGAUGAUUAUGAUCCAUCAAUGGAGAUUGAGAUGAUAGAUAUCGAGUUUGAGAAUUUUUCUAUAUAGAUAUUAGAGCCACUGGCACCUGAGAUCAUUAACUUAGUAUCUGAGGAGAACAAGGAUAGAGAAUCAUUUGAGUUCACUAAGAGUGCUUGGAUAAAUAUCUUUCUAUCCUUACCUGAUCUGACUUAUGUUCCUACUUUGACCACUUUCUUUUCGAUUAACACUUCUAUUGUUCUUCCACCUAUUUUUUUUGAGAGUGAGGACCUUUUCAUUUUAGACUUACUUCAACAUUUCGAGCCUACACCUCUUUCUUAUAGUCCUAUUACCACGCAUGCUUCUGAUUGUUAUCAUUUUUGGACUGUCGUAUCAUCUUUGAUUAGAGAUACUCCUAUACCAUCUUUAAGUGGCCACACUUUUGUUAAUACACUAUUCGAGCCUCGAGUUCAAAAUUCCACCCACUAUUACCAAUUUAUCCGAAAUUUUUGUGCCACUUACAGCUUUAUUCAUUAUUCUAGAUUCUGGACCUCUGAAUACUCCUUUUCAGAUUAGUGGAUGUUCUGUUGUACCGGUUUCUAUAAUUCCGAGUGGAGACUUUGUACCACUUUCAAAGUAGAUAUUUUUGGUUCACCAGUUGUAGCAGCUGAGAGAGUCUACUUAUGACUCUAAAUUUAGGAUUCCAGGAUCUUACGAUCCUAUGUUUAUUUAUGCGGGUUCAGGUUUUCAGGCCCGAGAGGUUAGUAUGGAGAUUGUAUAUCAGAUUUUGUUUCUGUAAUUGAAAGACUCCGUACUGAUAUCUGUAGGAUACCCUCCACCAACUUAGAGAUAUUUGGUUGAUAGAUUUGUUGUUUUAUGUAUAAUUGACUUUUGGGAGAUAACACAUAGUCCGUGUGUAUCUGAAUUAUAGUAUACGGUGUAUUUAGAGAAUAUGUAGACUUUGCAUAGUAUCGGAAUAGAGGAUCGUGCAUUUCCUUCUACUGAGAUGAGGAUACUAUAGUUUCGAUCAAUAGAUCAUUCUGGUAGUAGAGAUGUAGUAGGGUGAUGACCAGAUCAUAUAUACUUUUAUAUCAUGAUUUUUACCCUAAAAGUUUCGGAUAUUAUGACCAGUGGGAGGGAUGAUCAAUCUUUAUUUCAUAUUGUUGUCUCUUUCUUUGUUUAUACCUUCCCUAUGCUUCUUGCACUUGUCAACCACCUUUGACCUGUUUCAUUUCUAUCAAUUAUCUUGCAUUUGUUACAUCAAUGAUCCAAUGUGAAAUUUUAUGGGGAAAAAAAAAACAAAAGUAUAUGUGUUCAAUCUUUAAAGUUUUUGAAGGUUUUCAUAAAGAGAAAUGUUCAAGUUGCAAAAAUUUUAGAGUUUUCAAAAGAAAAGGUGCAACCUUUAAAGUUUCUAAAAGUUUUCCAAAAAUAUGCAGCUUUGGUUCAACUUGUCUUUUCAACCAAAAUAUGCAACAUGUUUUCAAAGUUUUGUACUAAGUAUUUUACAAAAUUGCACCUUGUUGUACCUUUGGAUAAACCUUGCAUUUUGUAUAAUGAGACCUAUUAACCUGUUUUGUCUACUCUUAUAGAUUGUGAUGGAUUCAAACCUGAAUGACAACCUUGUUGAUAAAUCAAUACUAGAUGCUUCACCCGGAUUUCAGUUCAGACCCAAUCAUGUUCAAUUACUAGACAACAUACCGAGAAUUUUUUUAAAACAAUCCUGAAAAAAAAAAACUGUUCUUCGAGUCAACUUACUAAACCUACCUUUCCAUUCAAAUCUUUCAAAUAUUUUCCACCACAAGAGUUUUAAAGGGACUGUAGAUCCCGUUGAGGCCAAGAUACGGCUAAGAGAGAUAGAGAAGACUUUUGAGAUGAUUGAUGUAGAAGAUGAUAAGGAAACUAUCUUUGAUACUUAUAAACUUAAUGAAGAAGCUAAUUAUUGGUGGGAAGCUAAGCAAGUUCUAGAAGAGUCUAGUGUGAUAUCAUGGACUAGGUUUACAAAGUUAUUCCUAGAGAAGUAUGUUUCUAAACAUCUAGAGAAUCAUAUAGAGCUCAAGUUUCUACAGCUCAAGCAAGAGAAUAUGUCGGUAGCUGAGUACGCAGCUAAGUUAUUGAACUUUCGAGAGAUAUUACGCAUCAAAUAGAUAAAGACAAAAAGAAAGCUAGACGUUUUCAUCCGGAUUUAAAGUCCUAAAUUCCGAAUAGGAUUGUUGUUCUCAAGAUUGUUAGCUAUGCGACGUAAGUGUACAAAACUUGUAUAGUUGAGGCAAGCAAUGAGUUGUUUUACAAAGAGAUUGUCGAUAGGAAACAGAAAAUCCCUGCAAAUUAAUCAUAAUAUAGAAAAGAAACGUUGGACUCAUGGUGGGAAGAAACCUUUUGUGUAAUAAGAAAUGCCGCGAGCAGAGAAUAUAGGUGAAAUAGAAAGAAAUCAAAGGUUUAGAACUUCUCAAACUGCGAACGCGUUACAAGGGAGAUCCCUGUUGCCUGAGUAGAAGAUCUGUAGAAUAUGCUAUUUAUGAAUAAUAUUACGUUUCACACUAUUUCAGCUCAAGUUCACAUCAAAUCUCAUUUUGAAAACUGAGAAGUUUAUUAUGUAUCUUGAAUCCUUCUUUUGUUCGGAAGCGACUACUCCUAAUAAUCAAUAUUUCUUUGAUGUUACAAAAUCUUUUCUGAUUCAUGAUUCGAGAAUUGGAAUAAAUAUACACCACAAUGAUGAUCUCAAUCUAAUAAUUCUAAGAGAUCGUCUUAUAUUUGAUUCUAUUUUUGAUUUUAUCCACUAAAAAUCCUUGAAUUGUAAUUAAAGGAUGCAUUGCUCACAUUCCUUGGAAGAAGUGUGUUGAGAAAUAAUUAUGGCAGAUCAAGGUUGUCCAAAUUGUGAAAUAACGAUUCAAAAGCAAAUCUUUGAAAUAAAUCUUCCUUGAUAUUUCUUUAAUCUGAUUGGGAUGAACAACCCUAAUUAUAGGGGACACAAGGUAUACCUAUCUGUGUGAUAGGAGUUGGAUGGGACGCCAUCACUUGUGUGUGUUGUAAUUACAAGAAGGUUAACAACCUUUAGUAGUGUCUUAAUUUAGACACGCAACACUUAGUUCAUUUGAUCGUAUUAGGCUCCCAAUCAUCCUUUUAAUUCAAAUGAAAGCUAUUUUGAAAAAUCAUUGAUCGGUGAUUACCAUUGUGAAAGACUCCUAUAUAUCUAAGAAAGUUUUAUAAUUCUUAUUUCUUUUGAGUUCUCUUCAAAAUGCUCAGAUUUCAAAUUCUUUGAUUUUGUUCUUUUAAAAAAAUACAAUUUUCUUUUAAAAGUGUUUCAAGAAGUCUUGUAUGGAGACAUCAAAUUCAGACCCCCGAAUAUGAGGAUUGUUACAUCGAUUAUCGAGAGUUAAAUAAGUCGACCCUUUACUUAGGGUUGAUGAUUUGUUUAAUCAGUUAAAGAGAGCAUCUUACUUUUUAAGAUAGACUUGAGAUCUAGAUAUCAUCAGUUAAAGAAUAAGGUUUGAAAAUGGACCUAAGACAGCUUUUAGAACCAAUAUGGACAUUAUAAGUUCUUGGUGAUACCUGUUGGAUUGACUAAUGCACCUACAACAUUUAUGGAUCUUUGGAUGUAUAUUCUAAAAAUAUUUGGAUAAGUUCAUUAUUAUAUUAUCAAUGAUAUUUUGAUUUAUUCUAAGACAAAAGAAGCACACGUUGAGUAUCUUAGGAUACCUUGGAAAUUUUGAGGAAAUAAAAGUUAUAUGCAAAAUUUUCAAAAUGUGAAUUUAGAUAAAGCAAGUACAGUUUUAGGGCAUAUGGUUCAGAGAAAGAAAUGUUGGUAGACCCCAAAAAAAAAAAAAAAAAAAAUUGAGACCUUAUCAAAUUGGGAUAGAUUGAGGAUCCGAACAGAAGUGGGAAAUAUUCUUGGAUUAGCAGGAUAUUGUAGAUUAUUCGUUAAAAGAUUUCUCUGAGAUUGAGACUCUUUUGACCAAGUUGAUUAGGAAAGAAGAGAAGUUUGAAUGAACACCUAAAUGCAAGGAGAGCUUUCAACAAUUAAAGAAGCGAUUUAUAAUAAUAACCUCUGUGUUAACCUUACCUAACGAGACAAGAAAUUUUUUGAUUUAUAACGAUUCAUCCCAUAAAAGACUAGGAUGUGUUCUUAUGCAAUAUGAAAAAGUGAUAACGUAUGCUUCACGACAACCUAAGGAUUACAAGUUGAGAUACCCUACCCAUGAUCUAGAGUUAGCUACUAUAGUAUUUGCCCUAGAGAUUUGGUGACAUUAUUUGUAUGGUGAGAAAUGUGAGAUAUUCACGGAUCAUAAGAGUUAAAAUACUUGUUUACUUAGAAAGAGUUGAAUUUGAGAUAAAAGAAAUUGUUAGAAUUAAUAAAAAUUAUAACUGUACAAUCAACUAUCAUCCAGGAAAAGCAAAUGUAGUUGCUGAUGCUUUAAGUAGAAAAGAAAGGAGCAAUGUGAUGCCUACUAAAGGAAUUAAUUAAGGAGAUGAAGUAUUAGAAUUAGAACUUAAAGAUUCAGAGCACAAGGAGAGAAGGAUUUCUGAGAUGUUAGUACAACCAGAAUUAAUCGGAAAAAAAAAAAAGAAGAAGAAGAAGAAGAAAGUGUCAAGAAUUGAUGAUUGAAGAAAGACAUUCUGAAUUGACAGAUGGUGAAUGCUUAAAUGUUAAAGAAGAAAAAGGAAAUAAGAGAUUUGCUAAUAAGAUUUGAAUUUCUAACAUAACAGAUCUUAAACGGGAUAUUUUGAGUGAAGCCCAUAAGUCGAGAUAUUCUAUACACCUAGUGAGUAUCAAAUAUCAAGAUUUGAAGAAGAACUAUUGGUGAUCUAAUAUGAAAAGUGAGAUCGCGUAUUGGGUAAGUAAAUUGUCAGAAAGUAAAAGCUAAACACCAACGACCUAGCGGGUUGUUGCAACCAUUAUAAAUCCCAGAAUGGAAAUGGGAACACCUCACCAUGAAUUUUAUAAUAGGUUUACCUAGAACUCGAGCUAAUCAUGACUCUAUUUGGAUAAUUGUGGAUAGAUUGACAAAAUCUGUGCAUAUUCUUCAUAUUAGUGAGGAACAUAACCUUGAGAGAUUAGUAAAGAUGUAUGUGAAUGAAGCUGUGGCUAAGCAUGGAUUACCAGUUGAGAUACCAGAUUUACAUCAAGAUUUUUACAAGAAUUUAAGGAAUUUUGUGGAACUAAGCUUAACCUAAAUACUGCAUAUCACCUCUAGACUGAUGGACAGAGUGAAAGAACAAUUAAAACUAUAAGGAGAUAUGUUAAGAGCUUGUCCUUUGGACUUUAAAGGAAGUUAGAAUGGUCACUUAUCUUUAAUAGAGUUUGUUUAUGACAACAAUUAUCAUUCUAGUAUUGGGAUGGAACCUUACGAAGCAUUAUAUAGUAGGAAGUUUAGAUCGCCUCUUUGUUGGGAUGAAGUUGGAAAAAAGAGAAUCUUAAGGCCAGAAUUGUUCAGCAGACCAAACAAUCAAUCCAAGACUGACAAAAGAAAUAUGCGAAUUUAGAAAGGAAAGAGAAAUAAGUUGAAAGUGUUUCUUAUAAGUUAGCUUUACCCCAGAUUUUACAACAUAGUCACGAUAUUUUUCAUGUGUCUUUAUUAAAGGCCUACAAGACCGAUAAUUACCAUGUUUUAAACUAUGAGCCAUUAGGUAUUCAGUCUAAUUUAAUAUACGAAGAGAAACCAAAAGAAAUCGUCGAUUCAAAGUUUCAAAAGCUGAGAAAUAAGAAAAUGAAAGGUGAUUUGGCGGAACCAGCCACGUGGAGUUAGAAGAUGAAAUGAGAAAAAGCUAUCCAGAAUUAUUCGGCACAAUCAUGAUUCCGAGGACGGAAUCUUUUAAGGAGGGAAGAAUGUAACAACCCUGAAAAUUCACAAGUACGUAAAAAUAUAGUUAUUUAAUUAUUUACCGUGUAAAAAGAAUAUAUUAUUAAUCUCUGAUUUAAUAAGAAUUUAUAGUGCGAGAAGUCUGGAUCAACAUAGUGUAGCGACAGAAAGACUAGAAGACACGUAAUAUUAUUUGGUAUGGGUCAGUCUUUUAAUCUAAAUAUGUACAUUAACUAGAAAGUUCCGUUUAUACGAAAAAUAGAAUAGACACGAAGAUUUAUUUAAUUACCAACUCAUGAAUAAAUAUUGCGUCUUAGUCGAGAUGAUUAUUUUAUUUUUCUUAUAUUAUAAAUUUGGGGUUAGCCAGGAAAUAUUAAAAUAGUUAGUAAUAUAUUUAUUUAAAUAUUUUGUACGAUUUUGAGUUAUUUAAUAUUCGUGUUUGAUUAAAAAUCGAAACGAAAAUAAUCCGAGCGGGAUCGAGUAAAUUAAUAAUUAAACGUUUCUUGGGGCGUAAGAAAUGAAACUUGCAGCUCAAGUCUCAAUACUUGGCGCCCAAGCAAAAUAAUUAAUUAAAGACAAAUUAUGGAGUAAUUAAGUGAUAAUCAUAAUUAACAAUACAGUAUAAAAAUCAAAGCAAUGAGCCAAACAUUCUUUUACCAAAAACCAGUGAAGGGAAGAGUGUUGGCCAGGAAGCUUUUUGGUGUAAAAUGGAGGAGUUUGCAACUCAAUCGAAUCAUAUAAUAUUAAGGUAAAAAAUAACUCACUCUCAUCUUUUCUUUUCGAAAUAAAUAAAUAUGAUAGGUUAUGUAAAGUUAUAUGGUUUGUAGGACCCCUAUACUCAAUUCACUACUUUAAAAUUCUGAAUGUAGCCUAACAAGAACCAGUGUAUAUAUCUAUACUCUUGUGACGCAAAAUCUGGUUUUUCCCCAAAAAUAUGCAAAUCCAAAGUUAGGAGUAUAAAUGAAUUUGGGAUUAUUUAUAAAUAAUGUAUAAAUUUGUGUUCUUGAAAUCAAGUUGGGGGCUUUGCUUGAAUCUGGUUGUAUUGUAAAAAAAUGGGUUUAGAUCAAAUUGUGGGGCUGAUUUGUUGUUAAAAUCGGAGCAGUGGGCUGGUGGUGGUAGCUGGCCGGAGCUCGCGUCGGCGUCGCCGACGGAGCCCGCGGCGGUGCGCAGCGACGGUGAGCGAAACAGAGAUGGUGAGGAAAGCAAGAGAGAGGGAGAGGUAUGUGUGGGCUGUGUGCGUGUGUACGUCGGGGAGGAAGCCGACCGUGGCAGCGAGAUGGUGGUGAUUGGCAGCGAGAAGAGAGAAAGGGAGAGAGAGAGAGAGAGAGAGAGAGAGAGAAAGAGAGAGAGAUUAGAGAAUAGAGAGAUGAGAGUAGGCCACCAGAGCCAUACUCCGGCCGGCGGGGAAGAAAUGGUGAAGAGAAGAGGAAGAUGGGGAGAGAUGGAGAGAGUAGUUUAAUAAUUAUAUAAUUAAAAAUUUCUAUAUGUAAUAAAAGGUAAUAAAUUUGGGUUUUUAAGUAAUAUAGGUUGAAUAAGGGAUUUGGGGUAAUAAAAAUUAUUGGAUUUGGGGUUAAGAAUUUCAAUUGAAAAAGAGCAGCGUACAAAUAUUAAUUUAAAAAUGUUUUGAUUAAUAAAAAUACUAUUUUGGGUAUAGAUAUAUAUAAUAAGGAAGUGGAAAUCGAUAUUGAAAGAAGCUUAAUAAUAAUUGUUGAGUUGGUAAAUUUUGGGAUUUAAAUUUGGUAAUAAUUGGAUAAUAUAUUUGGGUAAAAUAUUUAAAAGAGAUUUAGAAUUUAGAGGUAAUUUAAUAAUUUGAUCUUUAUUAUUUAAUAAAUGGGCGAUUAACAAUAUUAGCCGAAUAAGAGGACAUCAUUAAAAAUGAGGUCUCCGUUAAGCGGAUUAAUAAUUAUUCAAAUGAUAAAGGUGAAUUUGUACAAGUGUAGAGGUAAGAAGUUAUUGAUGUUAGUUAAUAGAAUUGUGGUAUCAUUGAAGCAAGAGACUAUAUUUAUCACAUAAUAAAUCAUAUAAAUGAUCUCUUUCUUAUAAAGAGAUUUUUAAAUCAUUAUUUUGUGUGGCUUAGAAUAUAAAAUAUCGGGAAAAGACGGAGCCAGUUGUAUAUUAAUUUCGGAAGGUCUUGUCAAGCUAAGGACAUCAGGCAAGUUCACUAUCCCUCUCUUGACGUGAAAAUUUUCGUGCCUAUUUGAUGAUUGUGUGAAAAGUGUUGAUUGUGAAGAUAUUACAUUUCGUACCAAUGUGAAUCGAGGAAAUAUCUCCGUUUCAUUUUGAAGGCUUUAAAGAUAUUGUUCAUAUAGUACUUUUUAUAAUUCGAGCCCUCCCAUUGUACGGGAAUGAGCUGAUCCUAAUAACGAUAAUAUUUUGAAUCUUCAAAACUUGAGGUGAAUACAUUGCAGCGAUGAUCUCACCACAAUUAACUUACUCACUUUUGGAGAUCAUCUUAUUCUUUGGAAUCUAGUUAUUUUAAUUAUCCUUCACUUCUACCUUCGGGUAAUCUUUGUUGAAAGGGUGCAUUGUUCGCACUUCUUUGGUAGAGAUGAGUAGUGUUUAUUUGGGAGAAUUUUCUUGUAUUCGGAGGAAUCUAUUCAAGCUGGUCAACACGAAUUUAUUAAAUUCGUGGUAGAGUUGAGAAUUUACUAUCUGGUAAGGCAGAUAGUUUAGGGUUACAAAUGUUAACCCUUAUGCUAGCAAAUGAGAGUGGUAGGUGUGUCUUGUGUGGUUACGAUCAGACUGCAAAGAUCACACAGGAGAACGGUAUUCACGAAAUGGUGCUGAUCGAGCCAUGUAGUGUUACCGAAAGGUGGAAGACCAGCGUUUUCUUUACUGGAACUUGUGUUGUCAUUUGACGAUAGCUGCUUUGUUACUUUGGCUUGAAUUGUUUCUAUGCCUUACGUGCAUAUUCUGUUGAUUGUUGUUUUGCUCUAUGUGGACUUGCUGAGCAAUUUGAUUGCUCAUUCUUGCAUCUGUUUUAUUCCUGUUUGAGCAGUAAAUAGUGUGUAUGGCACAACUCAAGAGAACCGCCGGAAAUGGGUUUUUGGCAAAGACAGGGAAAGGGCGCAUCACCCAAGCUGAUACUGCUAGACUACUCAACUUGGUAGUACGAGCUAUAGUUAUUAUAAUGGUCUGAAAUCAGACUUCCCUUUAUGUAAUAAAGUUAGACUCAGUAGGAAUGUUGUAAGACAAUCGACCCUGGACUUGUGGGGCAAGAGUUGGAUUGUAUUAUAUUAAUAUGUAAUGCAAGUAUUGUUUUGAGCCAGAUGUUUAGUGGCGGACCAGAUCUGCGGGAUGUAGAUCUGGGGGCGUCACACAAUAUCUCUUUUAUACAUACUUUUUC